CGGGCUCCUGUGGAUCGUCGCUCGGGCAGCGCGAAUCGCGCUCAGGUCAGGGGCGAUAGCAGCGUCGCGGCAUCUCGGGGCAGAUCUGCUGCGGCGGAGCGAGGGAUCGGGUCGCGGCUUGGCGGAGCUUCAGGUCGGCGUCGGGACUGCUGGCGUCGCGUCGCCGCGGGUGGAGCAACGAGCAACGGUGGCAGGCCGAAGCGGAGGCGCGGUGGUGCGGCUGCGACGACGCGGUAGCUCGGGUAGCAGAGGAACACCGUAGGCAAAACCUACGA
This 275-nucleotide long non-coding RNA is filed under the name Eucalyptus grandis. Its description in RNAcentral is "long non-coding RNA (EGRA_LNC000881)". The record is from RNAcentral. Lineage: Eukaryota; Viridiplantae; Streptophyta; Magnoliopsida; Myrtales; Myrtaceae.